Molecule: RNA transcript, 2855 nt
Organism: Olea europaea var. sylvestris
Lineage: Eukaryota; Viridiplantae; Streptophyta; Magnoliopsida; Lamiales; Oleaceae
Gene name: zinc finger CCCH domain-containing protein 24
Exons: 15
Source: RefSeq, a predicted model, not a curated record
CUAAACAAAACUAGAUUUUAGGAAUUUGUCCCGCCGCAAGCGCGAAACCUGAAUUCUGAAACUUCACCGUGCGAAGCCUAACGAACUGAAACCCUAAACUCCAAUGGACGCUCUCGAGUCAUUGGACCUACCAAAUCCGCCCGAAAGUGCUUCUCAAUCUGGUGCAGUCGAUACUAAUAAAUCUGAGAAGCGAAAGCGAGAGGAUUCGGACUUAGAGCCGGAGCAAACAGCACCUCAGCAGCAGCACCCGCUGUGGAAAACGAGUCUCUGCUCAUACUUUCGGAGUUCUAACGGGUCGUGCAACCACGGGGAUACGUGCCGCUACGCCCAUGGAGAGGUGGAGCUCAGGUCCAGACCCGACAACACCUGGGACCCGACAUCCGAACGGGCAAAGAAGAUGGCGAAGAAAGAGCCAGACAAUGCAAAUUUAAUGGAGGCGGAGGGUGGCGUUAUGAUGACGGAUGCAGUUGCGACGGUGCCGGAAGGGGAGGAGGCUUGUUCCUCUGGGCUGUCUAAGUGCUUGGUGAAUUUACCCAUGAAGUGGGGUGCGGACAAGUUGAGGAAUUUUCUUAAUGAGCAGGGAAUUCUGUUUGAAUCAGCCAAGAAAAAACAAGGGAUGGUUGUUGGAUUUGUUACAUUUAAAAGUGCAGAACAAGUUAAAACUGCUGUAGAGGAGUUGGACGGGAAGUCUGUUGGAAAUAAUAGGACUAUAAAGGUUACUGAAGUCAUUUCACGUUCAUUUGGUAAGAAAAAUGAAGAGGCCGAGUUGAACAAUGAUCAGGCUGACGAUUCAAAUGGUGUCAGUUUAGCUGCUGAUGGUUCAGCCUCAAAAGGUAGAAGUGUCCGUGAUGUGGUCACUCCUCUUGCUCACAUGGCCUAUGCUGAUCAGCUAGAGCACAAGAAGAAUUCUCUAAUGCAAACUCUCAAAAGAUUAACUCGAAAUGCGCGUAAAGCUUGUCCUAAUGGCGUCUCACUUCCAGAAUGGAUUCUCAAAUCUAGAGAAAUAGGUGGUCUUCCAUGCAAGUUAGAAGGUAUACUUGAAUCACCACUUGUUGAUGGAUACCGAAACAAGUGCGAGUUCUCUGUUGGAUAUUCUUUGCAAGGCAGACCUACUGUGGGAUUUUUACUUGGGAAUUUCAGGGAAGGUGUGACUGCUAUCGAGGAGCCUGUAGACUGCCCAAAUGUUUCUAGAAUUGCUUGCAAAUAUGCUGCUAUCUUUCAAGAAUUUUUACAGCAGUCAGGGAUGCCUAUAUGGAACAGAUUGAAUAAUACUGGAUUCUGGCGUCAACUUACGGUUCGUGAAGGCAGAAUACCAAACAAAGUUGCUGAUGUUGACAAUCCCGAGGCUAGCAUUUCAGAAUUCAUGCUCAUGGUUCAGGUUUGCACAAAGGGAUUUGAUGAUGGAGUAAUAAAAGGUGAAUAUGAACGGAUGGCUCAAGCAUUUACUAUGGGAGCUGCUGGGGAAUCUCCUCCAUUGCCUCUGACAGCACUGGUAAUUCAGGAUCAUACAGGAAUAUCAAAUGUUGCACCACCCGAGGCUCCUCUACUAUCUGUGUCCAUUAGCAAUGAAGCAAGUGAUUCUGGGUUGCAGACAGCUAGUGAUGUUGUGGAACCAAGAAUUCAUGAUUACAUAAGCAAUCUUCGGUUCUCUAUAUCUCCAACAGCCUUCUUUCAGGUUAACACCCUUGCAGCUGAGAAAUUGUACUCCCUCGCUGGGGACUGGGCAGGCCUGGGCCCUGACACUCUACUUUUUGAUGUUUGCUGUGGGACUGGAACAAUUGGCCUGACCUUGGCUCAUCGUGUUGGAAUGGUUGUUGGCAUUGAAAUGAAUGCUUCCGCAAUUUCAGAUGCUCAAAGAAAUGCAGAAAUGAAUGGCAUUGUGAACUGCAGAUUUGUCUGUGGAAAGGCCGAGGAUGUUAUGGGUUCUCUAUUGAAAGAGUACCUUUCUUUACCUCAGAAACAAGACGAAAUUUCUGAUACAUUUCAAGGUAAAGAAGAUGAAAUGAAAUGUGCUGAAGAAACGAUAGAUUCUGAAGACUCUGUGCUUGGACCUGAAGGUAGCACUUGCCUAGAGAAUGAAAAUGGCAAUAGUACAAAUGAAAGCCAAAUUCAGAAGAAUAGUACGUCAGAAAAUAGAAAUGCCUUAAUGCAUCAAUUUAAAAAUGUUGUUGCUAUAGUGGAUCCUCCACGCGUUGGACUUCAUCCCACCGUUGGACAGGGAUUGUGAGCCAAAGUAUGAUCCCGCUCAUUCAGUAGUAACUCUGGUUCCCCUAGCACAGUUUUGGGCUUAAUCUGCUGGAGCUGCCUGUGGAAUUAUUUGACAGAUUGAGAGAAUGUGAUCAAGGUUCUAAGGACUCAUUCUCGUUUGAAGAGGCUUGUCUACAUCUCCUGUAAUCCUGAAAGUUUGGUGGCAAAUGCUAUUGAGCUCUGCACUCCAUCAGCCGAUAUAACUGAGAAGGGGAAUAAUAAAAACAACAGGGGCUGGAGAAACAUGAGUUCAGCUGGUCUUGCUCGACACAGAGCCAAGUCCAUGCCCAAUUCUGAGCCUUUUAAACCCUUGAAGGCAAUGGCCGUUGAUCUUUUCCCUCACACUUCACACUGUGAGCUGGUGAUGCUCCUUGAGAGGUAAAUAUGCCUUCUCUAGAUUUCCUUUCUUCAUUUUUUCUUGGAGACGGGGCAAGUGGAUGGUUUCUCAUUUAUUGUUAAAUUAAUUUAAAUUUGUAAUGAUUUUGAAGUAGGUGUACUUGUAGCAGCAAAAAAGUUGAAUCUUAUUUGUGAUUUUGGUUCCAUAAUCCCCAAGCCUUUUAAUGGCUGGGGAUGUGAUAUGGUAAUUUUGAUUUUGACAGUCUUUGAAA